GGAGAGGGUACAGCCCCCCUCACUGCUUGCAGCCCAGAGCCACUACAGGAUGACAGUCCUACGCAAGUGUGUCAGGGUGUGGCUACAGUAUGUGCACAAGAGAAGAUGCCUGCAGUCACUGCAGGCCAGAGCACUCGGUCAUUUUCAGCAGCGAGCACUGCCUGCUGCCUUCUACACGUGGUACAGAGUCUGGCGAUGGCACCAGCAGAGACGGACCCUCCACACCAGAGCAGUGCGUUUUCACAGAGAGGCAUUAGAGAAGCAAGUAUUUGCUCUCUGGAGGCAGAAGGUGUCUCAGCAUCGAGAAAUCCGCUUGGCUGAGAGAAUGGCUAUGCUGCAGGCAGAGCAGCAG
This 352-nucleotide long non-coding RNA is filed under the name Rattus norvegicus (Norway rat). RNAcentral describes it as "long non-coding RNA NONRATT010073". Lineage: Eukaryota; Metazoa; Chordata; Mammalia; Rodentia; Muridae. The record is from RNAcentral.